AAUCGUUGAUCAGAAGUCUUCUAGACCUGAGUUGUAAUCGUUGAUCAGAAGUCUUCUAGACCUGAGUUGUAAUCGUUGAUCAGAAGUCUUCUAGACCUGAGUUGUAAUCGUUGAUCAGAAGUCUUCUAGGUCUGAGUUGUAAUCGUUGAUCAGAAGUCUUCUAGACCUGAGUUGUAAUCGUUGAUCAGAAGUCUUCUAGACCUGAGUUGUAAUCGUUGAUCAGAAGUCUUCUAGACCUGAGUUGUAAUCGUUGAUC
Oncorhynchus keta (chum salmon) is the source of this 256-nucleotide long non-coding RNA. RefSeq lists it as uncharacterized. The record is from RefSeq and is a predicted model, not a curated record. The transcript has 3 exons. NCBI's taxonomy places the organism in Eukaryota, Metazoa, Chordata, Actinopteri, Salmoniformes, Salmonidae.